GGGCGGCAGUUGAAGGUAAUAUACCGGACCGCAAGUGCUCUAUAUGGCGGAGUAAAAGCCGAUGUGAGGUUCUGGAACGGUUAUGCGAGCUCUAUCACGGCAGUGAGGAUUGGCCCCAUGGGAUCGGCGGUAGAUUAGGCGCCUUCUGAAGGGAAGUCGUCACUAUCUUCUAAUGGGCAAACCCAGCGAGGCCAGGGAUGGAGCAGCGUAAGUCCUAACGUUUGGUGCUCAUAGGAUACUGGUCUGAGACCAGAUAGAGAAAUCGGUAAUCGGAAAGGUGUCGAGCAUCGGGUCUAUCACCC
RNAcentral lists this signal recognition particle RNA (302 nucleotides) under Candidatus Helarchaeota archaeon. RNAcentral's name for it is "signal recognition particle sRNA". It matches the Rfam family "Archaeal signal recognition particle RNA". Lineage: Archaea; Promethearchaeati; Candidatus Helarchaeota. The record is from RNAcentral.